Molecule: transfer RNA, 75 nt
Filed under: Cordylochernes scorpioides
Lineage: Eukaryota; Metazoa; Arthropoda; Arachnida; Pseudoscorpiones; Chernetidae
Description: tRNA-Thr
Source: RNAcentral
UGUACAGGGAUGGGAAACCAACCCACAAUGUUCCGCUUACCGGGCAGAUGCCAUGUCCACUAGGCUACCCUGGAC